RNAcentral lists this ribosomal RNA (650 nucleotides) under Oscillatoria sp. SVM2. RNAcentral's name for it is "SSU rRNA". It matches the Rfam family "Bacterial small subunit ribosomal RNA", at positions 121 to 809 of the family's 1533-position model. The record is from RNAcentral. Lineage: Bacteria; Bacillati; Cyanobacteriota; Cyanophyceae; Oscillatoriales; Oscillatoriaceae.
GUGGCUCGUCUGUCGGGGAACCCCUGGAACGGGGGCUAAUACCGGAUAAGUCGAAAGAUAAAAGGUUAACUGCCUGAAGAGGAGCUCGCGUCUGAUUAGCUAGUAGGUGUGAUAAAAGCGCACCUAGGCGACGAUCAGUAGCUGGUCUGAGAGGAUGAGCAGCCACACUGGGACUGAGACACGGCCCAGACUCCUACGGGAGGCAGCAGUGGGGAAUUUUCCGCAAUGGGCGAAAGCCUGACGGAGCAAGACCGCGUGGGGGAGGAAGGCCUUUGGGUUGUAAACCCCUUUUGUUAGGGAAGAAGACAGUGACGGUACCUAACGAAUCAGCCUCGGCUAACUCCGUGCCAGCAGCCGCGGUAAUACGGAGGAGGCAAGCGUUAUCCGGAAUUAUUGGGCGUAAAGCGUCCGUAGGUGGCCCGGCCAGUCUGCUGUCAAAGACCACAGCUCAACUGUGGAAAGGCAGUGGAAACUGCAAGGCUAGAGUGCGGUAGGGGUAGAGGGAAUUCCCAGUGUAGCGGUGAAAUGCGUAGAGAUUGGGAAGAACACCGGUGGCGAAAGCGCUCUACUGGGCCGCAACUGACACUGAUGGACGAAAGCUAGGGGAGCGAAUGGGAUUAGAUACCCCAGUAAUCAAACGCGUUACCCAC